RNAcentral lists this long non-coding RNA (306 nucleotides) under Anas platyrhynchos (mallard). Its description in RNAcentral is "lncRNA (ENSAPLG00020005021.1)". Lineage: Eukaryota; Metazoa; Chordata; Aves; Anseriformes; Anatidae. The record is from RNAcentral.
GUGCUGUGUUCUCUGAAUUUCAGGAUUCCAAUCCCACUUGUGCUGUCAAACAGCAAGCUGGAUGCUUUAAGCCUUGUAGUGCUAAGGGUGUGCCCUCACAGCCUGCCUUUGCUCGUAAUCAUGCACCUGGAGGCUGCCGCUGCUGUGGUUUUUCGGUGGAGUCCACGUGCUUCUAUCUUUGCGACCUUGCACAGGUCAUCACUUUUUCACCUUUUGCAUUCUGCUGAUCUUUUUACGAGAGAGCUCCACCAUAGAAGGCAAACAGAAAGAGUUAGUCCACGGAAGUUCAUACUUCAGAGCCGAUGA